UUGUCUUUACUUAAACAAUCAAGUGUACUUGACUAAACAUUACUUAAAAUUUUGCAUUUUGGCCCAGUCACUCAAAAAUAUAAGUUCAAAUAACUUAUUUACCUUCAAAAUACCAAAACUUAAGAUUUCAAGUGCUGUGAACUCAAAAUAAUGAUUAAACCUUACAAAAGGUAAUUUUCAAAAAUGUCUUAACUGUGAAAUGAUACAUUCAUUCAUGCUUUCUUCAAGUGCAAGGUGUCAUUCUUAUUUUACCAGAAAACAAAUGGCUUUCAUUUUACAAUUAUUGAUUGUAAUGGAAAUAAACUGAUGUUUAUUUAAAAAAAAAAAAAAAACGGAUACUUUAAACUUAACAAAUAAACUUUAUUACCCAAUUUUCAUACAUUUCACGUGCACAUAUGCCACGUGCCAAAACGCAUGAAAGAGUUCCUCACAUCAGCCACCAACCAAGUCUCAAUAAAAAAAAAAAUAUACAAAAUAACAGAAAUACAGCGACGACACAUUAUGUUGAACGUUAAAUCAAAUUCAUUUCAAAGGUUUAAAACGUCUCUCUGAUCUUCCUCUGAUGCGAUUUGCCACGCAAGCAGUUCUGCAUGGCAACAACAGAACUAAUGGGCUGAUUGGUGGAUUACAAAAUUGGUGAUUUUCGCAUCGUCUCGUCAGUUGCUGACACCAGUUCAAAUGUGAAGACGGGACGGGAGUUUUUCUUUGAGUAACAUUCUCGUUCAACAGAAUUGCUGGCAAAAACCUAAAGCAGGAUUUCUACGAGAACCUUGAUAGAUAUAGUCCACGGUUCAUGGACCUUUUUUAAGCCAAAGGGGAGACUCCUGGUCAGCAACGUUACUUGGCUAACUUUUUGAAUCAAAUAAAGUCAGCCCAACCAACGGAGGUCCUAACCCUUGUGAUUCAAGGACUACCUAUCAUGCUUGGAGAUGAUGGUGACUUCAUUUCUUCAAGUCAUAUUUAGUGUCUGAUCAUCGCAACUCCAUCCUUAAUGUGCCAGUGGGCAUCUUAUUUGAGGACACUGACUUUCAGCCCCCCAAUUCCUUGUAUUUAACUUCUACGAUUGGAAUAAUAAAAUGCAGGACCUCCCACAGGCUAUGUGUCUCCUCUUCGGUCUGAUCUACGAACUUGAACUGAAUUACCCCAAAUCAUUUUGCAACACGUUUGAUUUCAUCCAGCGUGUGUUAAUGUCAAUGGGACAAUAUUCUCUCAAGCCUAAAUUGCAGUCUCUGGCAAACCAGCUUUUUGUAAAAAAAAAAAAAA
Non-coding RNA from Pimephales promelas (fathead minnow), 1263 nucleotides. The record is from RefSeq and is a predicted model, not a curated record. NCBI's taxonomy places the organism in Eukaryota, Metazoa, Chordata, Actinopteri, Cypriniformes, Leuciscidae.